This is a long non-coding RNA of Choloepus didactylus (southern two-toed sloth), 294 nucleotides long. RefSeq lists it as uncharacterized. NCBI's taxonomy places the organism in Eukaryota, Metazoa, Chordata, Mammalia, Pilosa, Megalonychidae. The record is from RefSeq and is a predicted model, not a curated record. The transcript is spliced from 3 exons.
CUCAUUAUGUAACUGUAAAAACAAAGAUCCUGCCUCGGGACAAAGAGUCUGAGAGACUUUGGAUGUGGUGUCAAGUUGCUACAAAACUGCCUUGAAGUUAGCAUUACCAACCCAAUUAUCUUCUGAGGAUACUGAAGAGGAAGGAUCCUACCAGAAAAGACCACCAACACUCCUCCUCCAUCUUUAUUCUCAGUUCCUGACCUGGCAUUCUACUUCAUUGAGAAAGUGAAAGCAAUUGGAAGAGAACUUCUACAGGAUCACACCACUAUACCUGCCCACCUAUCUGCAUCUGGG